RNAcentral lists this ribosomal RNA (459 nucleotides) under uncultured bacterium. RNAcentral describes it as "partial 16S ribosomal RNA". It matches the Rfam family "Bacterial small subunit ribosomal RNA", at positions 338 to 795 of the family's 1533-position model. The record is from RNAcentral.
CCUACGGGUGGCUGCAGUGGGGAAUAUUGCACAAUGGGGGAAACCCUGAUGCAGCGACGCCGCGUGAGUGAAGACGGCCCUACGGGUUGUAAACCUCUUUUGUCGGGGAGCAAAGAGAGUCACGUGUGACUCAUUGAGAGUACCCGAAGAAAAAGCAUCGGCUAACUCCGUGCCAGCAGCCGCGGUAAUACGGAGGAUGCGAGCGUUAUCCGGAUUUAUUGGGUUUAAAGGGUGCGCAGGCGGAGGUGCAAGUCAGCGGUCAAAUUGCGGGGCUCAACCCCGUACUGCCGUUGAAACUGCAUCCCUUGAGUGCGCGAGAAGUAUGCGGAAUGCGUGGUGUAGCGGUGAAAUGCAUAGAUAUCACGCAGAACUCCGAUUGCGAAGGCAGCAUACCGGCGCGCAACUGACGCUCAUGCACGAAAGCGUGGGUAUCGAACAGGAUUAGAUACCCUAGUAGUC